This 424-nucleotide long non-coding RNA is filed under the name Homo sapiens (human). Its description in RNAcentral is "non-protein coding LINC01517:7". Lineage: Eukaryota; Metazoa; Chordata; Mammalia; Primates; Hominidae. The record is from RNAcentral.
CUCCUGUGUCCCUGAGUUGGCUCUGUCCUUAAAUUUUGCAGCAGGAGAAUUAUUGAGCUGUUCUUGGGAUGAUUUUUAGCCUAUGUAUGUCUACACUUAGGAGGCUGACAUCUUAUAAAUGCAUAUGGUUUUGUUCAAAUGAAUACGUAGUUGACAAAUACUUGGCUAGAAGUUAUAAUGACAAAUUUAAUAGCCCUACUAUAGCCUGAACUGUCAUCUUUAUUUGGGUUAAGCUUGCUAAAUGUCAACUGGAAUUUUGUACUAUAAUAACCUGCAACUUGGUUCCAAAAUCAGCCAUGUUUUUGACAAAUAUGCUUUCCUGGCUGAAAACCAUGAAUGACCCAGAAUAGUUCAUAUCUUUGGAAGAUCCUUAUUUUCCUUGUAAAUGAAAGUCAUGCAUUUGGAAUAAUAACAUGAAAUGAUG